Molecule: long non-coding RNA, 1098 nt
Organism: Wasmannia auropunctata (little fire ant)
Lineage: Eukaryota; Metazoa; Arthropoda; Insecta; Hymenoptera; Formicidae
Exons: 3
Source: RefSeq, a predicted model, not a curated record
AGGGCCGGUCGUUAUGUACGGAAUUAUAGAAGAUGAUGUUUAUCUACAUUUCCUUCUUUUGCAAGCAGCAUUGCGUGUCUUGUCUUCUUCUUCGCCAUCUCCGAUAAACUUACAAUUUGCACAACAAGCUUUAAAAUUAUUCGUGGAACAGACCGAAAUCAUUUAUGGGGCAUCUUUUUUGUCGUACAAUGUGCAUGCUCUUAUACACCUCGUAGACGAUGUCGUAAAGCUAGGACCUCUAGAUUUCUGGUCAGCUUUUCCUUACGAAAACAAUAUGCGUGUUUUGAAAAAAUACUGCAGAAAACCACAUCUUUGGAGCAAAUUGCACGUAGAACUGCCGAAGAAGCGAACUGCCCUGAUCGCUUUACGACGAAGCAAAACAAUGAUGCGCCGGUAAAAGUGACCGGACAGCACUACAGCGGAAAUGUGCCUAUGGAGCUUGCUGGUGCUCGUCAAUACAGUAAUGUAAAAACUGUGAAUUUUACAUUGGGUCUUCAAAUUCACAAUCAUUGUUGUAUCACGCGUAAUGGCUCCAUCUGCAUAAUUUCGAACAUUCUCACAAUAGGUGUUUUUAAAUGUUCGGCCUUGAGCACGCAGACCUCUCAUAUUCUUCUCGAUGACGUUGUAGCAAAGGCUUAUAAAAUGCCAAACUGGCAAGCUCAAUCAAACACUUUCGAUAAUAACAGCGAUGAAGAAGUAUAUGUCCAACCUGCCAACAGUCAUUGUUAUUAGUAUGUAUAACAAUCAUGAAGAAAAUUAAUCAUUCCAACCUGUAUUCUUGCUAAUACAUUUGUACAUUUACUUUUGAAUAAGUAAAAUGUAAAUGAAAGAUAAUUUAUAAUGCAACUAUAAGAAUGGCGGUUCGGGUCCGCAGGAAGAAGAAGGAGCCAAGCUGGCACAAAGACAUGGUGCAACUAGCAUCCACGACGGAGUCGUCUUCGAAUGAGCAAGAACCGUUGCGCAAAACAUCAUCAUCCCUAUCAGACCGUAUUCAGCGGAUUAAACGUUCCCUUAAAAAUUACCAACCGGAUGCUCCAUCUCCCGUAAAUCAUAGCUGUUCUGAACUUUUAGAUAUUUCCGCAAAUUAUCCACAUGUGC